UAUAUACAAUUCUCAAAUGAUGCCACAUUACUACCAUCAGAUGUAUGGUUCUUCAUCAUCAACUGUUAGCCCACCAUAUCAUUAUCCUCACAUGGGGUACACUGUGCCAACUUCAAGGGCAACACUGCAAAAUCCACGCCCACCAUACAUGCAAUAUCCUACGGUCCACAUGGAGGGAUCUAUCUCUCCCUCAUCCUCACAGCCUUCUACCUUUCAGCUACAACCCCCUCCACAUGUAAGGCAACCACCAAACACAAUACCCAUGCGCCAGAUGAAAUAAAAUAAAAUAAUCUUCUAAAUAUUAAAUUUUAUAUAAAUAUUUUUUUUCUAUAUAUAUAUAUAUAUUCAUAAAGUACAUAUUUUGCUAUUCUAUUUUUAUUUUUAUCCUUGCAUAUAUAUAUCCAUGCCAUCUAACGUUGUUAAAAAAUUAAUGGUUUCAAAUUUAGAGGAAUAAAAAAAAAUUUCAAAAUUCUAUUUUAUUUUUAAUUAAAAUAGAUAUAGUUUUUAAUUAAUAAUAUUAGAAGAAUCGCUAUAUUAGGGAUAUUUGUACAAAAAUAGUAUUUUAUGAAGAUAAAGGAAAUAAAUAUAAAUUUUAAUAGAGUAUUUACACAAAUUUGACUUUUUAGAAGAAUAUUCAUAAAAAAAAUCUCUCACAGAGAAAAUAGAGGAGCUAAUAAGAACUACUAGAGAAUUUUUUUUUUUGAGUGGCCUUGAUUCGGCUACUUGCACAGACAUAUGGUAUACUUAAUGUGGAAAAUAAUUUUGUCUAUUUAAAAGUGUUGUUUAUUAGUUCAGCAUUUUUUAAUUUUUUAUUCUCUAUAUUUUCAUGAAGUUAUGUUAAUUGUUAAGAGAUUUUUUUUUUCCAUAACUGAAAAUUUUCAAUCAUAUUGCAGUCAACUAAUCAUUCUUUUUUUUUUUCUUUUCUUUCUUUCUUGAACAUCUUUGUCUUUGUAUUUCCAACAUGGACAAAAAAAUCAUUCUAUUAUUAAUAUGCAAGUAAGCAAUUCUUUGAUUACAAUGGCUAGUCUAUAACAAAACAUAGAUAUUAAAUGCUAAUUACCUAGAAAUAUAAUCUUCAUCAAUGAACAAGGAAAGUCAAUAUUUGGAUCAAAGUUAGCUGUCCCUUAUUAUUUAUGUAUUGUUUUAUAUAAUUUUGAUUACCUUAUGUUGGAUGGAUUGGUUUUUUUGUAAAAUGUGUGAGCAGGCUAUAUACAAUUCUCAAAUGAUGCCACAUUACUACCAUCAGAUGUAUGGUUCUUCAUCAUCGACUAUUAGCCCACCAUAUCAUUAUCCUCACAUGGGGUACACUGUGCCAACUUCAAGGGCAACACUGCAAAAUCCAUGCCCACCAUACAUGCAAUAUCCUACGGUCCACAUGGAGGGAUCUAUCUCUCCCUCAUCCUCACAGCCUUCUACCUUUCAGCUACAGCCCCCUCCACAUGUAAGGCAACCACCAAACACAAUAGGUAACUUCUAAACCUUUUACUUUCUGUAUUUAUGUUUGUACAUUUCAAUAUUUUCACUCAAGGUUUCAUUGGUGCUUAUAAAUUAUCUACCAGUGGGCAUAGAAAGGAGGUAUAGAUGUCAAGGAGUUAGAUUGGCUUAAAUUCUUAGAAGGCAUGCUUGGGCUUGAAUUUUUGGCUAGAGGGUGAAAAAUGUGUCACAAAUUAGCCUAUUUAUGAAAUUAUAAAAAGUCUAGAUUAGAAGGCAUCAAUUGAAUUAUGUAGGAUAGACCUAAAAGCAUUUUCAAGAUAAUCUCCUUUAUAACAUUUAGCAUAUUUUAAAUUAAGCAAAGGUUCAUAAAGCUUGUUUUUUUGACACCUUUGAGGUGAGAUAGCAUAAUAUAUAAUUUAGGAUCUUAAUGAACAAAUCAUAUCUCGCAUUAAAUUUUUUAUCUUUUGAACUAUAUUUUGUAAUUUUAAGUUUAUGAUGAAAUGCAUAUUUAUUAGCUUGAAAUUUAAGACUUUUACAAUUGUACUUUAGAAAGAAUGGAAAGGCUAAAAUAAAACAAAUGGACCUUAUAUAAGAGUCAGGGGGAGAAAUAUGCUAAAUAAAUUUGAACUGAUUAUAGCACUUGAAUUUAGGAAUCUAUUUAUGCAUAAGAGGUAAGUUCUUGUAUCCAGAUAUUCUUACCAUCUAAUGUUAAAUCAAAUGUUUAACAAACUUAUAUGGUGGUUUUCGUUAAUUCAAGCUAUAUAGCUUUUGCCUAUUUCUAAUUAUAUAGAUUUAAAGUCCAAAGAUUGACAUCCAUUAGUUGAAAUUAAUUGGCAAAUGAAUGCCAUAUUCCAUAUGAAAGAAAGGUUAGAUGCCAAUAAACAUGUCUGAGUUUGUUAUAUGUUAUUAUUAGUGUAGCUUGCCUAUCUUUUGACCAUUAAUCUUUUAUCUUUAGAUUAUAUAAAAUACUAUAUUUUUUGAAAUUUAUCCGUGUUGGAAAGUAAAGAUGCUAAUAUAUGUGCCUCCAUGUAUAUGUGCAUAUUUUGGUAAGAAAACAAUUAGUUGUAUAUAAGAAGUAGCUUUAAGUUCUCCAAUAGAUGAUAUUUUCUAAUAAUAUGAAAAUACUAGAACCCUAGAGGUUUCAUGAGAGUUGAUGCUUGCCAUUUAAUUACCCUAUGGAUUUAGAUUUUCUAUCUUAUUAUCCAUAUUCAAUAUCAUUUAGAUUUAAAUCUUUAUACUUAUUUCACAAACUUACUAAUUAGAUUAUGUUCUUGCAAAUUGGAUAGCUA
Molecule: long non-coding RNA, 2723 nt
Filed under: Phoenix dactylifera (date palm)
Lineage: Eukaryota; Viridiplantae; Streptophyta; Magnoliopsida; Arecales; Arecaceae
Description: long non-coding RNA (PDAC_LNC005947)
Source: RNAcentral